GUGCUCACUUUGACAGCACAUAUACUAAAAUUGGAACGAUACAGAGAAGAUUAGCAUGGCCCCUGUGCAAGGAUGUCACGCAAAUUCAUGAAAGGUUCCAUAUUUUU
Small nuclear RNA from Saimiri boliviensis boliviensis (Bolivian squirrel monkey), 107 nucleotides. NCBI's taxonomy places the organism in Eukaryota, Metazoa, Chordata, Mammalia, Primates, Cebidae. The record is from RefSeq and is a predicted model, not a curated record.